This 504-nucleotide ribosomal RNA is filed under the name Phyllium elegans. Its description in RNAcentral is "partial large subunit ribosomal RNA". Lineage: Eukaryota; Metazoa; Arthropoda; Insecta; Phasmatodea; Phylliidae. The record is from RNAcentral.
GGAGAAUCCUGAAUUCGAAAGGGGUUGGAUUCAGAUUCUACCGCUUGAUAUUCGUGCGGCCCCGACCGCAGACGGUGCCGGUCGCCCGCAAGCGAUUAAUUUCGCCUGCGGUGUCGUUUCCGGCGUCCGCUCGGUUGGUGGUCAGCUGAAAACGUCGCGGAGUUUCGCACUUCUCCCCUAGUAGAAACGUCGCGACCCGUUGGGUGCCGGCCGAAGGCCUGGGAAGGUAGCCCGCGCGUCCCGCGGUGGUUGCCGCGGGCGCGCGGACUCCCGUCGUCCUGGCCGGCUGCCCGACGGUAGGACCAGAGGAGCCGAUCCGCUGAAUGGGAAACACUGUGGUUUGUGAAGCGUGCGGCCCGGCGCCGACGCGUGCGGGGAUUGAGGUGUAAACCGGGGGUGCCCGUGCGAAGCACGGUCCCGGCCCCGCUGCGUGUUCGGCUGCCGGUGUCCUCGCACUGGAUUCGGUACUCCCGUCUGCGACGCCCAUUUUCGGAUGGUCUCCCG